RNAcentral lists this non-coding RNA (75 nucleotides) under Geopseudomonas sagittaria. RNAcentral's name for it is "Pseudomonas sagittaria GEMM cis-regulatory element". It matches the Rfam family "c-di-GMP-I riboswitch aptamer". From Rfam's summary of the family: GEMM was predicted in a large-scale screen for bacterial structured RNA regulatory elements. Genes associated with GEMM are involved in a diverse array of functions, including chemotaxis regulation, signal transduction, secretion and chitin. Lineage: Bacteria; Pseudomonadati; Pseudomonadota; Gammaproteobacteria; Pseudomonadales; Pseudomonadaceae. The record is from RNAcentral.
UCCUGAUAAAGCCACCCCCGUAGCGAUGCGGGUUCGGAAAGCCACGGAUCUCCCCGAGACAGCCGGGUUGCCUGA